ACUCAAAGGAAUAGACGGGGGCCCGCACAAGCGGUGGAGCAUGUGGUUCAAUUCGACGCAACGCGAAGAACCUUACCUGGGUUUGAACUGCAGGUGGCAGGCCUGGAAACAGGUCCUUUCCUCUGGAACUCCUGCAGAGGUGCUGCAUGGCUGUCGUCAGCUCGUGUCGUGAGAUGUUGGGUUAAGUCCCGCAACGAGCGCAACCCUUGUCCUUAGUUGCCAUCGGGUAGAGCCGGGCACUCUAAGGAGACUGCCCCGGAAAACGGGGAGGAAGGUGGGGAUGACGUCAAGUCAUCAUGGCCUUUAUGCCCAGGGCCACACACGUGCUACAAUGGGCGGCACAAAGGGCUGCGAACCCGCGAGGGGGAGCCAAUCCCACAAAACCGCCCUCAGUUCGGAUUGCAGUCUGCAACUCGACUGCAUGAAGUUGGAAUCGCUAGUAAUCGCGGAUCAGCACGCCGCGGUGAAUACGUUCCCGGGCCUUGUACACACCGCCCGU
RNAcentral lists this ribosomal RNA (499 nucleotides) under uncultured bacterium. RNAcentral describes it as "partial 16S ribosomal RNA". It matches the Rfam family "Bacterial small subunit ribosomal RNA", at positions 899 to 1397 of the family's 1533-position model. The record is from RNAcentral.